Molecule: ribosomal RNA, 472 nt
Filed under: uncultured organism
Description: partial 16S ribosomal RNA
Rfam family: Bacterial small subunit ribosomal RNA
Source: RNAcentral
CGUACACUCCUGCGGGAGGCAGCAGUGAGGAAUAUUGGACAAUGGGUGGAAGCCUGAUCCAGCCAUCCCGCGUGCAGGAAGACGGCCCUAUGGGUUGUAAACUGCUUUUAUCUGGGGAUAAACCUACUUACGUGUAAGUAGCUGAAGGUACCAGAAGAAUAAGCACCGGCUAACUCCGUGCCAGCAGCCGCGGUAAUACGGAGGGUGCAAGCGUUAUCCGGAUUUAUUGGGUUUAAAGGGUCCGUAGGCGGAUUGAUAAGUCAGUGGUGAAAUCCGACAGCUUAACUGUCGAACUGCCAUUGAUACUGUUAGUCUUGAGUAAGGUUGAAGUGGCUGGAAUAAGUAGUGUAGCGGUGAAAUGCAUAGAUAUUACUUAGAACACCAAUUGCGAAGGCAGGUCACUAAGUCUUAACUGACGCUGAUGGACGAAAGCGUGGGGAGCGAACAGGAUUAGAAACCCUAGUAGUCCCAU